This 240-nucleotide unclassified non-coding RNA is filed under the name Cenangiopsis sp. RNAcentral's name for it is "partial contains 5.8S ribosomal RNA, internal transcribed spacer 2, and large subunit ribosomal RNA". The stretch from base 1 to 52 matches the Rfam family "5.8S ribosomal RNA", at positions 103 to 154 of the family's 154-position model. The record is from RNAcentral. Lineage: Eukaryota; Fungi; Ascomycota; Leotiomycetes; Helotiales; Cenangiaceae.
AACGCACAUUGCGCCCCGUGGUAUUCCGCGGGGCAUGCCUGUUCGAGCGUCAGUACAACACUCAAGCUCUGCUUGGUAUUGGGCCCCGUCCGUCUGGACCGGCCUUAAAAUCAGUGGCGGUGCCAUCGGGCUCUAAGCGUAGUAAUACUCCUCGCUACAGGGUCCCGGUGCGUGCUGGCCAGCAACCCCCAACUUUCUAAGUUUGACCUCGGAUCAGGUAGGGAUACCCGCUGAACUUAA